RNAcentral lists this ribosomal RNA (551 nucleotides) under uncultured bacterium. Its description in RNAcentral is "bacterial SSU rRNA". It matches the Rfam family "Bacterial small subunit ribosomal RNA", at positions 355 to 897 of the family's 1533-position model. The record is from RNAcentral.
UAGGGAAUCUUCGGCAAUGGACGGAAGUCUGACCGAGCAACGCCGCGUGAGUGAAGAAGGUUUUCGGAUCGUAAAGCUCUGUUGUAAGAGAAGAACGAGUGUGAGAGUGGAAAGUUCACACUGUGACGGUAUCUUACCAGAAAGGGACGGCUAACUACGUGCCAGCAGCCGCGGUAAUACGUAGGUCCCGAGCGUUGUCCGGAUUUAUUGGGCGUAAAGCGAGCGCAGGCGGUUAGAUAAGUCUGAAGUUAAAGGCUGUGGCUUAACCAUAGUACGCUUUGGAAACUGUUUAACUUGAGUGCAAGAGGGGAGAGUGGAAUUCCAUGUGUAGCGGUGAAAUGCGUAGAUAUAUGGAGGAACACCGGUGGCGAAAGCGGCUCUCUGGCUUGUAACUGACGCUGAGGCUCGAAAGCGUGGGGAGCAAACAGGAUUAGAUACCCUGGUAGUCCACGCCGUAAACGAUGAGUGCUAGGUGUUAGACCCUUUCCGGGGUUUAGUGCCGCAGCUAACGCAUUAAGCACUCCGCCUGGGGAGUACGACCGCAAGGUGUG